GGCCGAGUGCAUCUGUUGGACCGUGCGAGGAGAAGAAAAAAAAUAUCGGCCAGAGGAGAGGAACUAACCGAACAUUCUUCCUCCCUACCUUAUAGAGGGGAGUGGUCAUCUACACUAAAGCAAAGUGUUAGGCGCGUCCGUGCGAAGAGACCACCAAACAGGCUUUGUGUUCCUUAUCACAGGAAGAAAAUUUUCCUUGACCUUUAGGUGCUUUUAUAUUCAUCUCAAAAACAAAAUUCUGAACUCAGGACUUGGCAAUCUCACUCUGUCGCCCAGGCUGGAGUGAAGCAAUGUGAUCUCAGCUCACUGCAACCUCCACCUCCCGAGUAGCUGGGAUUACAGACAUGCACCACCACCCUCAGCUAAUUUUUGUAUUUUUAGUAGAGACGGGGUUUCGCCAUGUUGGCCAGGCUGGUCUUUAACUCCUGGCCUUACGUGAUCCGCCCCCCCUUAGCCUUCCAAAGUGCUGGGAUUACAGGUGUGAGCCACUGCACCUGGCCUGUAGUAGCUUAAAAUUUUCCUUGAGAAAAUUCCUGACUUUAAAAAUAACCCUUAUAUAAGUACAAGUGAUUGUGACAAAUGACGUAAAAAUGGCAUUCAUGAUGUCUGAAACAAGCCUAAAUAGAAUUCAAGAUUAGACUAAAUGAUUUUCACAAAGCACAUUCAAGGUUUUACAUUCUAUGAUUGAAAAAAAUUUUUUGAAAACUUUUUAUUUCAUUCUUUCCUGUAGGAUUUUGCUACAAAUAACUUUGGGAAUGAAUAAAGUGGAAUGGUAACUUUCCAGUGGUUCAGAAUUGAAUUAGACUUCUUGUGACUGUGAUGUUUGGUUUCCAUUGAAAUAUAUGAAGUGAGAUGUCAUAUCCUGAAUAUAGUUUGUCUUCCCCAAUUACUUGAUAGCAUGUCUGUCAGCCAGUAAAGAUUAAGAACAGAGUUUCUCUAAAUUCCUCCGAUUAUUCCACUAAGGCACAUUAAAAUACUUAAUUUUGGGAAACCAGACAUCACAGAUUUCUCCAUGAAGUCCUAAAUCUUCUUUAAAGUCAGAAUAGGUAUCUUAGUUACUGACAGUAUUCAGGUUUUUUUCUCCCUUGGUGAUAUGUCAUUCCAUCAGUGAAAAAAUAUUUUCUCCCAGGGAUAAGAAAGGUAUUCUGGUAAUACAUUAUCAUCAAUCCUUAAACAGUAACAGUCUUGGCACUUAUCACAAAACCGACCCAUUUCUUAUAACCAGAAAGAUUAUCUUAGACUGUCCUUCACAUUAUACUUUACCUACUGCCUUGUAAGAAUAAGAGUUGCUCACUGUGUUUACUUGCUGUCCUCCAUAUUCUCCAUUGCACCAUUGGUGUAUAACGUUAAGAGUUUCAUUGAAUAUUAUUUUAAGUAUUACAAAAGGCAGCUUGCUUCUUAAUCUAUGCAUCUUUGGGGUUUUUGAAGAAAUUUAAUUCUUUGAUGUAAAAAGGAACUGUUAAAAAAGUUGGAAGCUCUGCACCUGUGUAUAUAUAUAUUUUAGCAAUAAAGCAGCA
RNAcentral lists this long non-coding RNA (1517 nucleotides) under Homo sapiens (human). RNAcentral's name for it is "OIP5 antisense RNA 1". The record is from RNAcentral. Lineage: Eukaryota; Metazoa; Chordata; Mammalia; Primates; Hominidae.